This 429-nucleotide ribosomal RNA is filed under the name Bacteroidota bacterium. Its description in RNAcentral is "Bacteroidetes bacterium partial 16S ribosomal RNA". It matches the Rfam family "Bacterial small subunit ribosomal RNA", at positions 355 to 776 of the family's 1533-position model. Lineage: Bacteria; Pseudomonadati; Bacteroidota. The record is from RNAcentral.
UAGGGAAUCUUCGGCAAUGGGGGGAACCCUGACCGAGCAACGCCGCGUGAGUGAAGAAGGUUUUCGGAUCGUAAAGCUCUGUUGUUAAGGAAGAACGAGUGUGAGAAUGGAAAGUUCAUACUGUGACGGUACUUAACCAGAAAGGGACGGCUAACUACGUGCCAGCAGCCGCGGUAAUACGUAGGUCCCGAGCGUUGUCCGGAUUUAUUGGGCGUAAAGCGAGCGCAGGCGGUUAGAUAAGUCUGAAGUUAAAGGCAGUGGCUCAACCAUUGUAGGCUUUGGAAACUGUUUAACUUGAGUGCAGAAGGGGAGAGUGGAAUUCCAUGUGUAACGGUGAAAUGCGUAGAUAUAUGGAGGAACACCGGUGGCGAAAGCGGCUCUCUGGUCUGUAACUGACGCUGAGGCUCGAAAGCGUGGGGAGCGAACAGG